Molecule: ribosomal RNA, 250 nt
Filed under: uncultured bacterium
Lineage: Bacteria
Description: partial 16S ribosomal RNA
Rfam family: Bacterial small subunit ribosomal RNA
Source: RNAcentral
UACGUAGGGUGCGAGCGUUAAUCGGAAUUACUGGGCGUAAAGCGUGCGCAGGCGGCGUCGCAAGUCGAGUGUGAAAGCCCCGGGCUUAACCUGGGAAUUGCGCUCGAAACUACGGCGCUCGAGUGUGGCAGAGGAAGGUGGAAUUCCACGUGUAGCGGUGAAAUGCGUAGAUAUGUGGAGGAACACCGAUGGCGAAGGCAGCCUUCUGGGCCAACACUGACGCUCAUGCACGAAAGCGUGGGGAGCAAAC